AAGAGCACAAGAGAAAGCGGUCCAAGAAUGGGCAGCUCGAACCACCUCUGAAUGCUUAACAAAAUCAAUCUUUGCGGUCCGAGGAUGACAACUUUGGAUGGCUUUGAAGAGCACCACAAAAGGCAGUCAAAUAAUGCUAACAUCGGAAUGAUUGGGCUAUGCCCCAAACAUUAGGACGCAACCCUACUAUCAAAAAGACUAAAAAAUAUAUUUAUAAAAUGCAGUACCAGGAUGUUAUCCUCGAACUUACGGCAUAUUUUGAAAAAAUAAAAAAGCCUCAGGUUGACCAAACUUUCGUCUAAUUUUAACACAAAAUUGACUCAUUCAAUAUUUUAGUUUUUUUUGUGCCCAUACGUAAUUCACUCUUUUACUGCUAAGGAAUGAUCCAUAUUUUAAAGUAUUUUAUGCCGAGAUCCAACGAAGUGCCUUUUUUUUAUUUUUUUCAAUUUUUUCUUCCAAUUCGAUGUUUGUUAUUUUUUUUCUGAGUGUUCUGGAGGGUUGUACACUGGGUUGAAGUAUUUUAGCGGUCAGUCUGACAUACCUAACAUCAAUUUGCCUUGAACUUGAAUUUGGCAUUUAAUAUUUUUAACAUUAGACCUCUCUAGACUUCAAGAUUUUUUUAAGUUUUUAGCUAUCUGACUUUUUGUAACAUCGGAUUGAUAGGCCUACUUAGAACGUUCAAAUGUCGCGCAAUCCUAUAUUUUAAAUGUCGGACUCCUUAAAAUAUGUUAGUCCAAUGUUUGGAAUAUCAUACUGCUCAAAACGUUCGUAGGCCUGACGGUAUAUUGUUCCAUAUAUCAAACUGGUCAUUAUAGGGCUGUCCGAUAUUCAAAACAUCAUACUAAUUUCUACAAACCAAAAUAAAAUAAAAUAAAAAAUCGAUAUGAUAUUGCAAAUAUCAAAC
Molecule: long non-coding RNA, 904 nt
Filed under: Amborella trichopoda
Lineage: Eukaryota; Viridiplantae; Streptophyta; Magnoliopsida; Amborellales; Amborellaceae
Description: long non-coding RNA (ATRI_LNC004461)
Source: RNAcentral